GAUGUUUGCUGAGCAGAGCAGGAUUCUGUCCAGUGACUUCUUUUUCCCCAAUUAGGAGGCUGUGUUGGCAAGACAUGGAUUGUUCUUUACGCUUUCCCUAUCUUUUCAGCUUUUUCCAAGAGGCCUUGGUCUCUAUCCUGAGGCUUUCCUCAUCAGCACAUGACGGUGAGCUGAAAGAUUCCUAAAGUUCUGUUGUCUCUCAAAACAAAACAGAACAUUCCAACCAAAUUUAAACAGAUCCAUUUACAAUUUUAUUACAUAUCAGCUUUCCUGUGUGGCAUUUAUUUGAGGAAAGGCUCUCUCAGAUAUGAGGGAGUUGGUUUUAGAAAAUUAAAUCAGACAGACUAAAAUGACGAUCUGAUUCAUGAGAGGAAAGAAGAUACACUAUGUGAUAGAAGAGUUAUUUUUGGAGAACUUAUUUUCGUGACUCUGAAUGCCCAGAGGAGAAAACAUAUGGAUGGUAUUGCUAAUUUAGUACCAUGUCUGCUUCAGGCUCUAUGUGCAGUUUUCUACAGACUGGGCAGCCGACUCUUUGGUCUCCAUUUUUGAAUGGAGUGCUGCAAGAGAUGCUGUCUGACAUACGAAACAGUCAACUGAAAAUAAAGUAGCAGAGUUAACGUAGGCAGUUUUCUUCACUGUGGUUACAAGAUGGCAGGGCCUUCCAAAUUUGCACACUGUACAUUGAAGUGGAAGUGGAUGCUAGCUCUAAAAGCUCUGUGUGGGCGGCGUUGAGAGUGGGUAUUUUGAUUUGAAAAUUUUGUUAGUUGCCAUAGUAAUUGUCACAAUUAUGUGGUUUGUUCGAUCUUUGUGAUACUGAACACCUAUUAGCAGCACCCAGAAAGCGGUGUGUUUUAGUUUUUUUUCUUGUGCAUACUUACAGAGAGAAAAACAAUAAUGUGUGGUCAGAUUUUAAGAUGAAGUAAAAACAAUAAAAAAGUAUCACAUAUCUUUAUGUAAAGUGUGUUUAUUUUCUUAAUUAUUUUUUAGUCAGAUUUCUCUUCAGCAGAAAAGUCAUCAGGAAGUGAUUUUGUUUUUCUUUUUCCAAAACAAGGAGACCCAGAAACCAAGGUUACAAAGCUUUGUAAAAAGAAGAACAGGAAGCUCUCCUUUUGUUAUUAAUGUGUUGUGUCAGCAAUGAUGCUACUUAAGUUCAGGCUGAAAUUUAAGCUGAAUCAAAAGAGAGUGUGUGUUUCCACUCCCUUUGCAUUUGUGGUGCUCACCAUGGCCACUGAUUAUUUAGUCCUUGAUUG
Molecule: long non-coding RNA, 1250 nt
Filed under: Homo sapiens (human)
Lineage: Eukaryota; Metazoa; Chordata; Mammalia; Primates; Hominidae
Description: non-protein coding lnc-TMTC3-22:1
Source: RNAcentral